Molecule: long non-coding RNA, 1022 nt
Organism: Sus scrofa (pig)
Lineage: Eukaryota; Metazoa; Chordata; Mammalia; Artiodactyla; Suidae
Source: RefSeq, a predicted model, not a curated record
CUUUGUCUGCAGGCAGUCAAGUCUUGGAUGGUUAAAAGCAGCCAGCACGGACUCUCCAUCUGCAGGAAGGCCCCUGACGAUUAUUAUUUUGUCUUUUGGGUUCUUUCAGUUUAAAGACUAAGGAUUCCAUCGAGGUAGGGAGUUGAAUUCGACUUCUCGCUACUACUUAAGGAAAGAAGACUGGGAAUGAAAAUGUUUUCAAAUUCUUUGCUGUGUUGUUCAGGUGGCAGAAUCAACCUAAAGCUGUCACUCUUCAUAACAGCACCAUGCCACAAGCACCAGCUAGAACUAACUGCUUCCCAUCCACACCCAGUGGGAGAAGAGAGCAUCUUUUGGUGGCAUUCUCGAGAGAGGGAGUAAUAUUCUUCUCCAGACGCUCCUCAUCAAACAUCUCCUUCCUGUCCCUUUGACACAGUUUGAAUCAUCAUCCUAUCCCACCGCCAUGACUAUGGCCCAUCCCCAGAGCUCCUGUGAAAUCAGUUCCAACCAACCUACAAAGUUGGGAUGCUCUGGAUCCCAUUAGAAAGGAGAUAAUGAAUGCUGGGGAGGCCACAACUACAUUUUCCUAUGAUGCUUAUUUUAAUGUGAUUUCUCUGAAGAAGAUGAAGCAAUUCAUAUUACCCAGAACAGUAAAACUUUGAAAUUGACUCCACAGGUCCAUUGCAAUUGACUUAAUGUGAGACCACAGUCAAGGCUGGCUGCGCAGAAUACUUCUAUGAGCACCUAUGCGGGAGUUAUGCAGGACCUGUGCAGAACCCUUAUUAUUAGAGGAAACGACGCUCUAGCACUAUUAACAAGCUCUGUUUUUGUUUUACAGACUUUGAGUCCCAGAUCAUCAUAGCUUUCCUGUUUCCCUCUGAAGUAAACAGUCUGCCCCAAUUUAACCUUAUUCUUCAAGAAUUCUUUAUGUGUGGUAGCUAUUUGCAGAUGGUUUCUUAUUUUAUUUUUUAUUUUUUGUAUUUCUUUGCCUUUUCUAGGGCCGCUUCUGAGGCAUAUGGAGGUUCCCAGGCUAGGGGUCGAAU